AUGAAGGUGGUGACGCGGCCUUUUCAACUGUUGAUGCUGGAUCUCAUGAGUGACAUGCCUGUGAAGACAAACCUGAUGCAAACUCGUUUGACGCAAGUGUUUACUCGUGAUGCAUUUAAGGAGAAGAAAGUUGUUUUGAAGAGGAAGAUGCCAGAUCGAAAUCCUGAUGGCACACAGAGGCGUAGCCCACGUGUGAAAGCUGGUUCCCAACCUGGUAAUAGCAAAGCUGAUGGGGAUAGUGUUGCUAUGAAGAUUGGUCCAAGCAAACUUGGUGGCUCCCCUGUUCGUCGUAGUCCACGGGUUUUGACAAAUAAGAAGCCUUCUUCGCCUCCUCUUCGAGAGCGCUCUUUGUUGAAAGAAAAUAAUAAGUGUAAAGUUCAUCCUGCGAAGGUGAAAAAAGGUGUGAAGAAGCAUGCUCGUGUCGAAGCUGAAGAUGUUGUAUCUGAAGAAGAUGAUAUCGAAGUUGAUUCUGAAGAUGAAUUUGCAGUGGCGAGCGUUAUGAGUCCGGUGAAGCCGGUGGGACGCAAUGCCGGAAAAGUUGCCUUGCAUGAAGGUGACCAACGGAAAUUGAACUUAACUGUGCGAUGUUCGUUGGGAGAGGAUGAAGCUUGUGCUAAAUUGCUUGAGAGUCGGCAUGUGUCUAACAUUUCCCGCCCUCUGAUUGGAGUUUUGUACCUGAGGAUAGAUCCUGAUACGAUGACUCUUGACAUGGGUGAGGCUAAUAAGAAGCUUCGCAUCACUAGCGAUGGUAUACAUCAAUUAUUUGGGUUCCCUCGUGGUGGUCGUUCUCCACCAAGGCCGUCAGAGGAUGGAUAUGACGACGCUCUGAUGAAGUUAAGAUGGGAGCUUGACAUUAGCAGGAACAUAGAUAUCAAGACAAAGGAUUUGACGAAUAAGCUCAAGGUGCUCGUCAAGGAUCCUAGCAAAGAGGACCUUGCUCUGAAAGUGUUCUUCAUUAUUGUGUUUAUGAAGGUUGUGUUGCCUGGUGCCGCCCCGCGUGUUUCCAGAGAGGCAGCAAUGUUUGAGGGUCUCGUCUUUGAGGACAUGGCUAAUAUGGAUUAUUGUCAGCUGAUGGUUGAUGAGCUUAGAAGGGCUGUUGUCAGGUACCAAGAUGGUGUUACCCUUGGGAAGGCAAUCACAGGCUGUGGUAUAGGGCCUGUACUAAUGUACCUUGACUGCCUUAUCCGUGGCAAGACUGCGGAGCCUGACAUGCGAGUCCCCCGCAUAUGUUUCAUGGAUCCUGUCAAGCUUUCUGAUCUGGUUGAUGUAGAUUUGAUAAAAAAGGCAAUGCAGAUCCAAAGACUUGGGUGUUUGGCAAGCUUCCGUAAUGCUAGUACUUCACAGAGGCAGGGUUUUGGUAUUGAUGUUGUUGUUUCUGCGUUGGAGCACGCUUAG
This 1395-nucleotide ribosomal RNA is filed under the name Triticum aestivum (bread wheat). Its description in RNAcentral is "partial small subunit ribosomal RNA". Lineage: Eukaryota; Viridiplantae; Streptophyta; Magnoliopsida; Poales; Poaceae. The record is from RNAcentral.